This is a non-coding RNA of Schistosoma curassoni, 48 nucleotides long. NCBI's taxonomy places the organism in Eukaryota, Metazoa, Platyhelminthes, Trematoda, Strigeidida, Schistosomatidae. The record is from Rfam.
AUCCAGCUGACGAGUCCCAAAUAGGACGAAAUGCGCGCCAAACUGGAU